CCUACGGGAGGCAGCAGUGGGGAAUAUUGGGCAAUGGGCGCAAGCCUGACCCAGCAACGCCGCGUGAAGGAAGAAGGCCCUCGGGUUGUAAACUUCUUUUAUCAGGGACGAAACAAAUGACGGUACCUGAUGAAUAAGCCACGGCUAACUACGUGCCAGCAGCAGCGGUAAUACGUCGGUGGCAAGCGUUAUCCGGAUUUACUGGGUGUAAAGGGCGUGUAGGCGGGAGAGCAAGUCAGACGUGAAAUGCCAGGGCUCAACCCUGGAACUGGGUUUGAAACUGUUCUUCUUGAGUGAUGGAGAGGCAGGCGGAAGUCCGGGUGUAGCGGUGAAAUGCGUAGAUAUACGGAGGAACACCAGUGGCGAAGGCGGCCUGCUGGACAUUAACUGACGCUGAGGCGCGAAAGCGUGGGUAGCGAACAGGAUUAGAUACCCCUGUAGUC
RNAcentral lists this ribosomal RNA (443 nucleotides) under uncultured bacterium. RNAcentral's name for it is "partial 16S ribosomal RNA". It matches the Rfam family "Bacterial small subunit ribosomal RNA", at positions 338 to 795 of the family's 1533-position model. The record is from RNAcentral.